This 73-nucleotide transfer RNA is filed under the name Planctomycetota bacterium. RNAcentral's name for it is "tRNA-Thr". It matches the Rfam family "tRNA". Rfam says of the family: Transfer RNA (tRNA) molecules are approximately 80 nucleotides in length. Their secondary structure includes four short double-helical elements and three loops (D, anti-codon, and T loops). The record is from RNAcentral. Lineage: Bacteria; Pseudomonadati; Planctomycetota.
GCCAGCGUAGCUCAGUUGGUAGAGCAGCGGUUUUGUAAACCGCAGGUCGUCGGUUCGAGCCCGACCGUUGGCU